UCACAUUCUGAGGACGGCAGCGA
This 23-nucleotide microRNA is filed under the name Human gammaherpesvirus 8. RNAcentral describes it as "kshv-miR-K12-3-5p". Its record names the gene kshv-miR-K12-3-5p. Lineage: Duplodnaviria; Heunggongvirae; Peploviricota; Herviviricetes; Herpesvirales; Orthoherpesviridae. The record is from miRBase by way of RNAcentral. RNAcentral also lists the same sequence under 1 other name.